Molecule: ribosomal RNA, 433 nt
Filed under: uncultured bacterium
Lineage: Bacteria
Description: partial 16S ribosomal RNA
Rfam family: Bacterial small subunit ribosomal RNA
Source: RNAcentral
AACGAACGCUGGCGGCAUGCCUAACACAUGCCAGUCGAACGAGACCUUCGGGUCUAGUGGCUCACGGGUGCGUAACGCGUGGGAACCUGCCCUUAGGUUCGGAAUAACUCCCCGAAAGGGGUGCUACUACCGGAUAAUGUCUUCGGACCAAAGGUUUAUUGCCUUUGGAUGGGCCCGCGUUGGAUUAGCUAGUUGGUAGGGUAAAAGCCUACCAAGGCGACGAUCCAUAGCUGGGCUGAGAGAAUGGUCAGCCACACUGGGAGUGAGACACGGCCCGGACUCCUACGGGAGGGAGGAGUGGGGAAUACUGGAAAGUGGGGGAAAGGCUGAUCCAGCAAUGCCGCGAGAGUGAUGAAGGCCGUAGGGUUGUAAAGCUCUUUUACCCGGGAGGAUAAUGACAGUACCGGGAGAAUAAGCUCCGGCUAACUCCGUG